UGGGGAAUUUUGGACAAUGGGCGAAAGCCUGAUCCAGCAAUGCCGCGUGUGUGAAGAAGGCCUUCGGGUUGUAAAGCACUUUUGUCCGGAAAGAAAUCCUUGGCUCUAAUACAGUCGGGGGAUGACGGUACCGGAAGAAUAAGCACCGGCUAACUACGUGCCAGCAGCCGCGGUAAUACGUAGGGUGCAAGCGUUAAUCGGAAUUACUGGGCGUAAAGCGUGCGCAGGCGGUUUGCUAAGACCGAUGUGAAAUCCCCGGGCUCAACCUGGGAACUGCAUUGGUGACCGGCAGGCUAGAGUAUGGCAGAGGGGGGUAGAAUUCCACGUGUAGCAGUGAAAUGCGUAGAGAUGUGGAGGAAUACCGAUGGCGAAGGCAGCCCCUGGGCCAAUACUGACGCUCAUGCACGAAAGCGUGGGGAGCAAACAGGAUUAGAUACCCUGGUAGUCCACGCCCUAAACGAUGUCAACUAGUU
Molecule: ribosomal RNA, 473 nt
Filed under: uncultured bacterium
Lineage: Bacteria
Description: partial 16S ribosomal RNA
Rfam family: Bacterial small subunit ribosomal RNA
Source: RNAcentral